RNAcentral lists this ribosomal RNA (274 nucleotides) under uncultured bacterium. RNAcentral describes it as "partial 16S ribosomal RNA". It matches the Rfam family "Bacterial small subunit ribosomal RNA", at positions 523 to 796 of the family's 1533-position model. The record is from RNAcentral.
AUACGGAGGGUGCAAGCGUUAAUCGGAAUUACUGGGCGUAAAGCGUACGUAGGCGGUGAGUUAAGUUAGAUGUGAAAGCCCCGGGCUUAACCUGGGAACUGCAUUUAAAACUGGCUGACUAGAGUUGAGUAGAGGGGAGUGGAAUUUCAGGUGUAGCGGUGAAAUGCGUAGAGAUCUGAAGGAACACCAGUGGCGAAGGCGACUCCCUGGACUCAAACUGACGCUGAGGUACGAAAGCGUGGGUAGCAAACGGGAUUAGAAACCCUAGUAGUCC